UACGAAGGGGGCUAGCGUUGCUCGGAAUCACUGGGCGUAAAGGGUGCGUAGGCGGGUCUUUAAGUCAGGGGUGAAAUCCUGGAGCUCAACUCCAGAACUGCCUUUGAUACUGAAGAUCUUGAGUCUGGGAGAGGUGAGUGGAACUGCGGGUGUAGAGGUGAAAUUCGUAGAUAUUCGCAAGAACACCAGUGGCGAAGGCGGCUCACUGGCCCGGUACUGACGCUGAGGCACGAAAGCGUGGGGAGCAAACAGG
This 253-nucleotide ribosomal RNA is filed under the name uncultured bacterium. RNAcentral describes it as "partial 16S ribosomal RNA". It matches the Rfam family "Bacterial small subunit ribosomal RNA", at positions 524 to 776 of the family's 1533-position model. The record is from RNAcentral.